Molecule: ribosomal RNA, 494 nt
Filed under: uncultured bacterium
Lineage: Bacteria
Description: partial 16S ribosomal RNA
Rfam family: Bacterial small subunit ribosomal RNA
Source: RNAcentral
GACGAACGCUGGCGGCGUGCUUAACACAUGCAAGUCGAACGGUGAAGCGCCUUCCUUUUUGGUGGGUGUGGAUGAGUGGCGAACGGGUGAGUAACACGUGAGUAACCUGCCCCCUUCUUCUGGAUAACCGCAUGAAAGUGUGGCUAAUACGGGAUAUUCUGGGUCUGUCGCAUGAUGGGUCUGGGAAAGAUAUUGUUUCGGUGGGGGAUGGGCUCGCGGCCUAUCAGCUUGUUGGUGGGGUGAUGGCCUACCAAGGCGGUGACGGGUAGCCGGCCUGAGAGGGUGGACGGUCACACUGGGACUGAGACACGGCCCAGACUCCUACGGGAGGCAGCAGUGGGGAAUAGUGCACAAUGGGCGCAAGCCUGAUGCAGCGACGCCGCGUGAGGGAUGGAGGCCUUCGGGUUGUGAACCUCUUUCGCCAGUGAAGCAGGCCUGCCUCGUCUGUGGGUGGGUUGACGGUAGCUGGAUAAGAAGCGCCGGCCAACUACGUG